GAUGAACGCUGGCGGCGUGCUUAAUACAUGCAAGUCGAGCGAACAGACGAGGAGCUUGCUCCUCUGACGUUAGCGGCGGACGGGUGAGUAACACGUGGAUAACCUACCUAUAAGACUGGGAUAACUUCGGGAAACCGGAGCUAAUACCGGAUAAUAUAUUGAACCGCAUGGUUCAAUAGUGAAAGACGGUUGUGCUGUCACUUAUAGAUGGAUCCGCGCCGCAUUAGCUAGUUGGUAAGGUAACGGCUUACCAAGGCGACGAUGCGUAGCCGACCUGAGAGGGUGAUCGGCCACACUGGAACUGAGACACGGUCCAGACUCCUACGGGAGGCAGCAGUAGGGAAUCUUCCGCAAUGGGCGAAAGCCUGACGGAGCAACGCCGCGUGAGUGAUGAAGGUCUUCGGAUCGUAAAACUCUGUUAUUAGGGAAGAACAAAUGUGUAAGUAACUAUGCACGUCUUGACGGUACCUAAUCAGAAAGCCACGGCUAACUACGUG
This 497-nucleotide ribosomal RNA is filed under the name uncultured bacterium. Its description in RNAcentral is "partial 16S ribosomal RNA". It matches the Rfam family "Bacterial small subunit ribosomal RNA", at positions 28 to 507 of the family's 1533-position model. The record is from RNAcentral.